CCUACGGGGGGCAGCAGUGGGGAAUAUUGGGCAAUGGGCGAAAGCCUGACCCAGCAACGCCGCGUGAAGGAAGAAGGCUUUCGGGUUGUAAACUUCUUUUGACAGGGAAGAGCAGAAGACGGUACCUGUCGAAUAAGCCACGGCUAACUACGUGCCAGCAGCCGCGGUAAAACGGAUGCGGCAAGCGUUGUUCGGAUUUACUGGGUGGAAGGGGCGUGUAGCCGGGCUGACAAGUCAGAUGUGAAAUCCGGGGGCUCAACCCAUGAACUGCAUUUGAAACUGGUGGUCUUGAGUAUCGGAGAGGCAGGUGGAAUUCCAAGUGUAGCGGUGAAAUGCGUAGAUAUUAGGAGGAACACCAGUGGCGAAGGCGGCCUGCUGGACGACAACUGACGGUGAGGCGCGAAAGCGUGGGGAGCAAACAGGAUUAGAUACCCUGGUAGUC
RNAcentral lists this ribosomal RNA (442 nucleotides) under uncultured bacterium. RNAcentral describes it as "partial 16S ribosomal RNA". It matches the Rfam family "Bacterial small subunit ribosomal RNA", at positions 338 to 795 of the family's 1533-position model. The record is from RNAcentral.